Molecule: ribosomal RNA, 497 nt
Filed under: uncultured bacterium
Lineage: Bacteria
Description: partial 16S ribosomal RNA
Rfam family: Bacterial small subunit ribosomal RNA
Source: RNAcentral
GAUGAACGCUGGCGGCGUGCCUAAUACAUGCAAGUCGAGCGGACGGACGAGAAGCUUGCUUUUCUGAUGUUAGCGGCGGACGGGUGAGUAACACGUGGAUCACCUACCUAUAAGUCUGGGAUAACUUCGGGAAACCGGAGCUAAUACCGGAUAAUAUUUUGAACCGCGUGGUUCAAAAGUGAAUGACGGUCUUGCUGUCACUUAUAGAUGGAUCCGCGCUGCAUUAGCUAGUUGGUAAGGUAACGGCUUACCAAGGCAACGAUGCAUAGCCGACCUGAGAGGGUGAUCGGCCACACUGGAACUGAGACACGGUCCAGACUCCUACGGGAGGCAGCAGUAGGGAAUCUUCCGCAAUGGGCGAAAGCCUGACGGAGCAACGCCGCGUGAGUGAUGAAGGUCUUCGGAUCGUAAAACUCUGUUAUUAGGGAAGAACAGAUGUGUAAGUAACUGUGCACAUCUUGACGGUACCUAAUCAGAAAGCCACGGCUAACUACGUG